GCAUGUUAGGGCCAUCUGGCUGCAACUGGUCACCAGGGUUGAUUCACCAGAUCCGGCUGGCUAGGUGGAUGUCCCCUUCAUCCCUCACUGUUUUGCGUCCCUCCUGAAGCUGCCGGUGGAAGUGACAACCUUCCCCAGAUAGAGGAGGACCAUCUUCGGUCGAGGGUAUGCCAGUAGGUGCGCUUCUAAACAAGCUCUCAAUUAUCAUAUUUUAAUUUGCCUGAACAUAAUUACAUAUAUGAGCAUUUGCUCCUU
This 255-nucleotide small nuclear RNA is filed under the name Jaculus jaculus (lesser Egyptian jerboa). RNAcentral's name for it is "7SK RNA (ENSJJAG00000002422.1)". It matches the Rfam family "7SK RNA". From Rfam's summary of the family: 7SK was discovered as an abundant small nuclear RNA in the mid-70s but a possible function has only recently been suggested. Two independent studies have found that 7SK RNA binds the CDK9/cyclin T complex (known as elongation factor P-TEFb). P-TEFb activates transcription by phosphorylating the C-terminal domain of RNA polymerase II. The record is from Rfam by way of RNAcentral. Lineage: Eukaryota; Metazoa; Chordata; Mammalia; Rodentia; Dipodidae.